This 24-nucleotide microRNA is filed under the name Gossypium raimondii (Peruvian cotton). RNAcentral's name for it is "gra-miR8715". The record is from miRBase by way of RNAcentral. Lineage: Eukaryota; Viridiplantae; Streptophyta; Magnoliopsida; Malvales; Malvaceae.
AUGGGCUGGCACAUGGGCGUGUGG